This 582-nucleotide ribosomal RNA is filed under the name Triticum aestivum (bread wheat). Its description in RNAcentral is "partial small subunit ribosomal RNA". The record is from RNAcentral. Lineage: Eukaryota; Viridiplantae; Streptophyta; Magnoliopsida; Poales; Poaceae.
AUGCCUGAUAACUGCAAGAGGAUGACCACGUACCAUGAGGCAGGGCAUGCCAUCGUUGCUAUCCACACGGAUGGCGCUGAUCCCGUCCACAAGGCUACCAUUGUUCCUAGGGAUGAUUUUCUUGGCAUGGUGUGGCAGCUGCCGGAGGAGGGCGAUGAGUAUAUAUUCUCAAGGAAAAAGAUGCAGGCAGGACUGGAUGUCCUCAUGGGAGGCCGGGCGGCUGAGGAGGUUAUCUUUGGUGAGAGCGAGGUGAGCUCCCUCACCCUGACUGACCUGGGCGAGGCGACCCAGCUGGCGACGGACAUGGUUGCCAGGUAUGGCAUGAGCAAGCAGGUCGGCCCUGUCUCCUAUGACAACAACGACGGCAGUUGGAACGCCAAGACCAUGAGCUGGAACUCGACAACCAUGGUGGACCAGGAGGUGAAAGAGUCAUUACAUGCGAAAUUCAACUCCAAGAAAAUUGCGGAAAAACAGGGGGGCUGGGAUCAUACCCACGCCAUGAGCAGACACCGUUGGUGCUCACUGCUGCCCGGUCUCCGCUUCAUUGUCCUCCACAAGUGCUGGUGCCACAGUAGAUGGUGA